GGGCAGAGAGAGAGAGAGGACAGAGGAUCUGAAGCAGGCUCUGCACGGACAGCAGAGAGCCUGACGCGGGGCUCCAACUCACUAGUCGUGAGAUCAUGACCUGAGCCAAAGUUGGACGCUCAACCGAUUGAGCCACCAGGCACCCUGGAAAACCUUAUUCUUAAUGAGGCAUCUGUGGGGUGGCUCUCACAUGGGAGCUCAGCAUGCCUUAAGGGAUGUUCAUGGAAGCACUGUUGCUAUGGAGAAAGCUCCGGAGACAACCUGAUGGUCAUGGGGAGAAAGUGGUUAAAUAAUCCACGGUGUAUCCACACUACGAAACUAUGCAGCUGGAAAAGAAUGAGGGCCUGAUGUGGACACACUUAGCCAGGCACCAGAAGUACGGUGCGAGGAAGAGAAUAUACAUAUGUAUAUGCACAGAAAGCUUCUGGAAGGAUCCACAAGCUACUUUGUUACUGGACCAGGAGAUACUGAGGAGUAAAGAUCAUGAAAGAUAGGAAACUUGGGGGAAAAAAGACCCUGUGCUGAAGCAGGAAGCUGCUCUCCCCUCAAGUGGCUGAUAGUCUAAGAGCUGAGACAAAGAUACACCUGCCAAGUUCACCUGGAUGAGUCUGGGAGGAAGAAGAGCCUUAUCAGAGCUCCAAAGAUGGGGAGGAGCAGCCUGGGAGACCUGGGUUGGGGUCCUCGCUUGGUCUCUGUCAGCUGUGUGGACGUGGGCAAGUCAUCUUGCCUUUCUCUGCCUCAGUUGUCCUCAUCUGUGAAAUGGCCACACAAUGAUAGCAUCAACCUCAGAGAGCGAGACCCCAUGGUUUGUCACCCACUUAGCACACGCUCUGUCUCUAGUGAUGGCUCAACAAAUGGGAGGAUGUUACAUCCAUAGCUGGAGGCUGGAUGCUUGUGGCACUGAGGGGUACGAGCAGUUACAGGAACUCCAAGCAGUGUCAAAACUCUAGACUUCUCCCAAUUUCUGAAUCUCCUUUCCCCAUACUUCUUAGAAAGGGGAAGGUCGGCUUUGGGGAGGAAACUGGGCUGGGGACGCUUCCCGGUUAGCCUGCUUGUAGCUCAGCUGCUGAGUAACAGUCAUGACACUGAUUAUAUUAAUGCCGUGUCUCAUUUAUUGAGGAUGGACUCUGUGCCAGGCAACAUGGCAUGUGCCCAAAAUGCCUCAGCUGAUUCCUUCUCCCCCACGGACCCUCACUGGGUGAAGCUUGUGGGGGUGGGGGGGGAGACAAGCCCUCCCCACCUGGGGCAAAGCUCUCUUAUCUCCUGUUCCAGGAAAGAGCAUCGAGACCCUGCGAGGCCCAGUGCACAGCGGGGCUGGUUCCUGGGUGAGCCUGCUCCAGCCCUGAGCUUGGACCCCCACCCACCUCCACCCUCCCAGCCUCCCGCUGACUCAGCUGGGUCAGGCCCAGGAGCUUCGGGGAGAAUUAGCAGAUUCAGGGAGGAAUUUGGGCUGUGCUUCACCAUCCUCCCCCUCCAUUCUCUCCAAGCUGGGCUCCAAGCUGGUGCAGCUCUGUGUGCGUGCACACGCGUACACACGUGUGCACGACACUGGCUUGUGGGCAGGCCGGAUGGGGUGGGAGCUGUGUUCUGGCCCCGUGCAUCCUCCUCUGGGCAGAUGGGAUUUGUUUGGUUCCGCAGAGCCCUCGUAUGCCAAGUGACUCAUCCCUCUGCCGACCGGGGGUGGGGGCUCGGGGGAGGGUGUUUGCUUUCCUCGGGUUUGCUUGAUGGUUAAACCCACGGAGAGGGCACCUGCGCGGCCAUCCAGUUCUCUGGCAACCAGGCCACCCUCGGCCCCUGAAGCCUGUCCCCUCUCUGCAGCUGGGCUAGGCUGCUGACCCCGGGAGGCCACUACCUUCUGAAGGGUCACCCACCCCCUCCUUGUUGUCAGUCAUUGUUUCCCCAGCAGCUGGAGAGGUGUUCACUCACUCACUCACUGGUUUGGGGUGUUCCUGCGAACCAGUCUGAAACAAGAAGGGCAACAUUCCCCCAGCCCCAGAAAGAGGGGUGUGAUGGCCCAGCAGCCUGUUCCUUACCACAGCCCCUUCUCCUCCCAUCCUCCCGUGGACAGCCAUCUCCUGUCUCCAACUGUAUGACCUCACCUCCACCUGAGGAGCAUUUAAAAAUGCAGAUUCUAGAGUCCCCUUGUUGGGUGGGUCUGGAAGGGCCACGGAAUCUGCAUGUUAACAAACAACUACCCCCAGGUUACUGAAGCGGGUGGUUUCUGGGCCACCCUGAGAAACAGCUGUGAAUAGAAAGAUGCGGUACAUGCUCAGGCCCUGGUCUACACCCACCCGGGAAGAGCCCACAGGCUGUAGCUUGAAGCCAAACUGGGUUUGAAUCCUGACUCUGCCACAUCCACCUGUGUGUCCUUUCAGAGGUGGCUUACCCUUCUGGAAUCUUGGUUUCCCCGUCUGUAAAAUGGGGAAGAGCCAGGGUGCCAUGAUGCGUGCCAAGCACCUGGCAUGGGAUCCCCUCUUCUCCCCACUCUUCAAGGGGACAAGAGGGGAAUGGCCCGGCUUCACCCUGUGUUUUGUAACAUGUAUUUACUUUUCUUGCAGAACAAUGCAAGGGAUGGAAAAAUCACGCUGGCUCUCCAGCCCAGAUGGGCUGACUCACACUCAGUCCUGGGCUGGGGGCCUGGUGAGCUCCCCACAAAGCCCUUGGGGCCAGAUGGGAGGUUGGACCCUGGCAGCAGAGGCAGGAGAGGGUCCAUGGUGAGUCACCCACUCUGCCUGCCCCUUGAGUCAUCCCCCAAGAAUGUGCCUCCGGCCCCUACCCGCUGGGGGCUCCUGGCAGACUGCCCCAUCCUGGCCACCUCCCCACUGCCUGCCAGGCAGCCCCACCCUACUGCCCUCCCAGAGAGCCAUUGCUCAGAUGACCAUCCUGCCAGCCCUCUCUGGAUGCAGGUGUAUACCUAUAACAGCCGUGUCUAUUGUCCAACUAUUGAAACAGCUCCUGACAGUGGUUGAGUAGUGGCCACUCUGAGGCCCUGGUGUCCCUUGGCAGCCCUGGCCCUUCCCCCUCAAACCCUUGGC
Molecule: long non-coding RNA, 3035 nt
Organism: Neofelis nebulosa (Clouded leopard)
Lineage: Eukaryota; Metazoa; Chordata; Mammalia; Carnivora; Felidae
Exons: 3
Source: RefSeq, a predicted model, not a curated record